CUAUACAUGCAGUCGAGCGAACUGAUUAGAAGCUUGCUUCUAUGACGUUAGCGGCGGACGGGUGAGUAACACGUGGGCAACCUGCCUGUAAGACUGGGAUAACUUCGGGAAACCGAAGCUAAUACCGGAUAGGAUCUUCUCCUUCAUGGGAGAUGAUUGAAAGAUGGUUUCGGCUAUCACUUACAGAUGGGCCCGCGGUGCAUUAGCUAGUUGGUGAGGUAACGGCUCACCAAGGCAACGAUGCAUAGCCGACCUGAGAGGGUGAUCGGCCACACUGGGACUGAGACACGGCCCAGACUCCUACGGGAGGCAGCAGUAGGGAAUCUUCCGCAAUGGACGAAAGUCUGACGGAGCAACGCCGCGUGAGUGAUGAAGGCUUUCGGGUCGUAAAACUCUGUUGUUAGGGAAGAACAAGUACAAGAGUAACUGCUUGUACCUUGACGGUACCUAACCAGAAAGCCACGGCUAACUACGUGCCAGCAGCCGCGGUAAUACGUAGGUGGCAAGCGUUAUCCGGAAUUAUUGGGCGUAAAGCGCGCGCAGGCGGUUUCUUAAGUCUGAUGUGAAAGCCCACGGCUCAACCGUGGAGGGUCAUUGGAAACUGGGGAACUUGAGUGCAGAAGAGAAAAGCGGAAUUCCACGUGUAGCGGUGAAAUGCGUAGAGAUGUGGAGGAACACCAGUGGCGAAGGCGGCUUUUUGGUCUGUAACUGACGCUGAGGCGCGAAAGCGUGGGGAGCAA
This 740-nucleotide ribosomal RNA is filed under the name Priestia megaterium. Its description in RNAcentral is "bacterial SSU rRNA". It matches the Rfam family "Bacterial small subunit ribosomal RNA", at positions 49 to 771 of the family's 1533-position model. Lineage: Bacteria; Bacillati; Bacillota; Bacilli; Caryophanales; Bacillaceae. The record is from RNAcentral.